GAUGAACGCUGGCGGCGUGCCUAAUACAUGCAAGUCGAGCGAACAGACGAGGAGCUUGCUCCUCUGACGUUAGCGGCGGACGGGUGAGUAACACGUGGAUAACCUACCUAUAAGACUGGGAUAACUUCGGGAAACCGGAGCUAAUACCGGAUAAUAUAUUGAACCGCAUGGUUCAAUAGUGAAAGACGGUUUUGCUGUCACUUAUAGAUGGAUCCGCGCCGCAUUAGCUAGUUGGUAAGGUAACGGCUUACCAAGGCAACGAUGCGUAGCCGACCUGAGAGGGUCGGCGCCCACCUGGGAACCACGACCCGCCCCAGACCCCAGCGGGAGGACACGGGGGGGAAUUUCCCGAAGAGGGGGAGAGCCGGACGGACCAACGCGGGGGGAUGAAUGAGGGUUUCCGAAUCGAAAAACUUUUUUUUUAGGAAAAAAAAAAUGUGAAAGUAACUAUGCGGUUCGGGACGUUCCCUAAUCAAAAGCCCCCGCCUAACUCCGUC
This 497-nucleotide ribosomal RNA is filed under the name uncultured bacterium. RNAcentral describes it as "partial 16S ribosomal RNA". It matches the Rfam family "Bacterial small subunit ribosomal RNA", at positions 28 to 507 of the family's 1533-position model. The record is from RNAcentral.